GCAGCAGCCGCGGUAAUACAGAGGGUGCGAGCGUUAAUCGGAUUUACUGGGCGUAAAGCGUGCGUAGGCGGCUUUUUAAGUCGGAUGUGAAAUCCCUGAGCUUAACUUAGGAAUUGCAUUCGAUACUGGGAAGCUAGAGUAUGGGAGAGGAUGGUAGAAUUCCAGGUGUAGCGGUGAAAUGCGUAGAGAUCUGGAGGAAUACCGAUGGCGAAGGCAGCCAUCUGGCCUAAUACUGACGCUGAGGUACGAAAACAUGGGGAGCAAACAGGAUUAGAUACCCGGGUAGUCCCUGUCUCUUAUAC
This 302-nucleotide ribosomal RNA is filed under the name uncultured bacterium. Its description in RNAcentral is "partial 16S ribosomal RNA". It matches the Rfam family "Bacterial small subunit ribosomal RNA", at positions 508 to 807 of the family's 1533-position model. The record is from RNAcentral.